GAGCGAGCCGUCUAAGGUGGGACAAAUGAUUAGGGUGAAGUCGUAACAAGGUAGCCGUAGGAGAACCUGCGGCUGGAUCACCUCCUUUCUAAGGAA
Molecule: ribosomal RNA, 96 nt
Filed under: Lacticaseibacillus casei
Lineage: Bacteria; Bacillati; Bacillota; Bacilli; Lactobacillales; Lactobacillaceae
Description: Lactobacillus casei partial 16S ribosomal RNA
Rfam family: Bacterial small subunit ribosomal RNA
Source: RNAcentral